Podarcis lilfordi (Lilford's wall lizard) is the source of this 4428-nucleotide non-coding RNA. The record is from the annotation of a GenBank genome assembly. Lineage: Eukaryota; Metazoa; Chordata; Lepidosauria; Squamata; Lacertidae.
GGGACUUCCGGUCGGCGCCAGCGCUUAAUGGCGGUCCUCCCUUCGAGCUCCGGAGGAGGACUGCUCCGCGAGUUCGGGUCUGACCUGCUACGGCGAGCGGGGGACCCCUAAAAUCACAGGCGCGGAAGCCUGUGAACAAGGAGACUCGGUGGGCACCUUUGCGCCCCCCGGUACUGUGAAAGAGCCUUUUUAAAGGCUACGGAGCGGCAUCGGGGGUGAGCGCGGUGCUGAGAGUCGCAACCCAGCCCGUGGAGUGAAGCCGCGUCGCCAUGAGCGGAGAGCGCCGAUUCCUUCCUGAACCAGAAAUUCGACUCUAAAGCCCGUGAGUAAGACGGAGGGACUGAAAGGGACAUUUAAAUUUAAAUCUUGAAAUUUGGCUGAAAACGGGAAAGGCAUAAAUUAAGGAAGUCUGCCUCCCCCGAUCUGCAUGGCAAGUAAAGCAACGAAAGAGUAAAGCUGCAUUUGAAAGAAAAUUACCUUUAAGCUGUCAAACCUGACAUUUGACUUAAACCUCCCCCCCAGUAAGCAGGAGAGGGGGGGAAGAAAAUUGGACACUGUUAACCUGCUUGAAAUUAAAUGAGGGGAAAAAAACAUCUUCCAUUGUCAAACCCCCAGGACGGACUGCCUGAGUAAGGCACCGGCAAAGUGAACUGUCAGUUUAGACUGGAUACAAAGUUGGGGUCUUGUCUGAGACAAAGUUACGGGACUUUAAUGGAAUUACUUUGUUGAACUUGUGAUUUACUGAAAAAAGUGCGACAGAAACUUUCACUGUGGACUCUUGGACUUUUUUUUUUUUUGUUGAUUGCUCUGUGCUUCCUUGUUUUUUCUCUUUUCACUUGGAUACAAUUAAAUGCUCCCUCUAGAGGGUAUAAAGAGAAACUGUUACAGUGAAAAAGAAACAGUGGGAUUUUCCACUUGCAAGUUUUUCCUGUGAGAACGACCUUGAGGAUAUGAGUGGCCCAGCAGAAGAGAUAACAACUAGAUCCAAAGCAAAACAGACACAAAAGAAAAGGGGCUCAAUACCCGGCAUACCACCAGCUGCACAGGAAAAAGUGGCAACAGCAUCUAUGGAUUCAAUGACACAGGCACUGCUCAAAAUAAACCAAUCUUUAGAAGCACUGACAAAGCUAUCUACGGAAAAUUCAAAAAAAUUGACAGAACUGACAGCAAGAUUGGACUUGAAUACUGCAAGUGUAACAUCUAAUACAGAAUCUAUUAAUAAACUAAUUCAAGAAAGUUCUGAAACACGAAAGAUUGCUGAAAGUGCAAAAAUACUGCGGAGGAGACAAGGCAGGAGCUUGUGCCGAUUACAAAAAAGUGAAUGAACAUGAUGCAGCUCUAUCUUUGUUGGAACUACAGAGAAAAGAAAAAUUUGAAAUUGAGAUUGGUUCCCGAGAGUGAGGGAGACAACCUUGUGGAUUUUCUUACACAGAACUUUAUGGAAUUCUGGCAAGAGGAGCUGCAGGAAGAAGAACUUGAAAUAACAACAGCUUUCCGGCUCGGCAGGAGGCAGGGGAAGAAGCCAAGGGAUUGUUUGAUCACAUUGAGAUCCAAAGGAGAAAGAGAUAAGAUAUUGAAUUUGCAUUAUCAAAAGGCAUUGGAGAUUGAAAAUAGUCAAGUACAAAUUUUUAAAGAUAUCCCUAAAUAUAUUUUGGAGGUGAGAGCCUUCUAUAAAGAUUUGGUCUACCUGCUGAAGAAAAACAUCAUACCCUUCAGGUGGGAGUUUCCACAAGGAUUGUCUUUUACUUUCAAAGGAAGGAAGGUUAAAAUAAGAACAGUUCAAGAUAAAGAACAGUUUCUGGAGAGAUAUCAGGAGGACUUGCAGAAAGGAACAGUAGAAACAACAAUACAAGAAAAAGGAGUGACAGACAUUGCAAACUUGUCAUUUGGACUCAUACCAUCACCUGAAGAGGAACAAAAGCUAGGAGCAGUCGGAGGAACAGGUACUUAAUAACAAAAUGUCUCUGCAACUUCUUAGCUGGAACUGUAAUGGUUUGAACCUUCCCCGAAAAAGACGCCAAGUUUUUCAUAUUUUGAAAAGAGAACAAUUAGAUCUAAUAUGCCUACAAGAGACUCAUGUGACCAGGACACAUCGGAAAUUAUUGGUAAAUAAGAGACUUGGACAAGAAUUUAUUUCAUCAGAUAAAGUUAAGAAAAGAGGCGUGGUGAUCUAUGCAAAAGAAAAAUUGGCUCCAAAGAUGAUAUUUAAAGAUGAACAAGGAAGAUACCUGGCAAUUGAAAUACAAGUUCAAGGAGAAAAAAUUUUGAUAGUUGGAAUCUAUGCACCAAAUGAUGGGAAGGCGGAAUUCUUUAAGAAGUUGCAUGAGACUUUAAUGGACUAUUUAGACUACAGAAUUAUAAUGAUGGGAGACAUGAAUGGCGUAGUUUCCACAAAUAUGGAUAAAGCACAGAGACAAGUAAUUUCCAAGGAAGGAGACUACCAAAGACUUUUUUGAAAUGACUGAAACUAUGGACUUGAUUGACAUUUGGAGAACAAGGAACCCUCUUGAGAGAGAGGGAACUUUUUCUCUGAAGCAAAAAUGACAUGGACAAGAAUUGACCAAAUUUGGGUAACUAGCAGUAUGGCGCCAAGGAUUAAAAAGGUAGAAAUCUGCUCAAAGACUUGCUCCGACCAUAAUGCUGUAAAGAUGGAGAUGAAACUUACAACAACUGGAUCCUUCAGAUGGAGAAUGAAUGACACCCUAUUCAGGGAUGAAGAGAUUUAUAAGAAGGCCCAAAAAACAGUGAAAGAUUAUUUUGAGAUAAAUUUGAGAACAGAAGUGGAAAAAAAGAAUAAUUUGGGACGCAAGUAAGGCCGUGAUGCGAGGUUUCCUAAUACAACAGAACUCCAUAAAAAGGAAAAAUCAAAAUGAAAGGAAAGGAAAAAUUCUGGAAAAAAUAAAAGAAGGUGAAAAGAAAUUGAGGUCUAAACCAAAGUCUCAUGAGAUUCUGAAAGAAAUAAAGUACUAUCAGGUGCAAUAUAUGGAAUUGAUGAAUCAAGAGAUAGAAUGGAAAAUAAAGCAAAUGAGACAAAAGACAUUUGAAUCAGCAGAUAAAUGUGGGAAAUUUCUGUCAUGGCAAUUGAAAAAGAGGCAAAAAUUGAACACUGUGACAAGUUUAGAAGUGGACGGAAAGAUUAUCCACAAACCAAAUGAGAUAAGUAAUUGUUUUCAAGGUUAUUUUAGGAAAUUAUAUGCACAAGGGCCAGUUAAUGAACAGGAAAUAGAAGAAUUUGUUAAGAAACAUGGAUUACCAAAAAUUUCAGAGCAAAGCAGAAGGAUUUUGAAUGAGAAAAUAACAGGACAAGAAAUAGAGGGUGCCAUUCAGAAGAUGCAAUUGGGAAAAGCUCCAGGACCAGAUGGUUUGACCGCCAGAUACUAUAAAGUGUUGAAGGAAUGGUUAGUACAACCACUGAAGGAAGUAUGUAAUGAAAUUUUGGAGGGAAAAAGGCACCAGAGUCGUGGAAAGAAGCUUUUAUCUCACUUAUACCGAAAACUGAGACUGAAAAGAACCAGGUUAAAAACUACCGCCCUAUAUCAUUACUCAAUGUGGAUUACAAAAUUUUUGCGGACAUUAUGGCAAAAAGACUGAAGAGAGUGUUGGUAGGGGAGAUUCAUAAAGACCAAACUGGCUUUCUUCCAGGGAGAUAUAUGUCGGACAAUGUGAGGAACAUUAUAGACAUUUUGGAACUGUUAGAAGUGGACAUUAAUAGGAAGGCUGUUUUAAUUUUUGUGGACGCGGAGAAAGCCUUUGACAAUAUUGGUUGGAGUUUUAUGAAGAAGAAUCUCCAAGGGAUGGGGGUAGGUCAAGGGUUUGAAAAUGGUAUAGGUGCAAUAUACUCUAAACAAAAGCAAAGUUAAUUGUAAACAAUGUGGUAACGGAAGAAAUACCUAUAGAAAAAGGUACACGACAGGGGUGCCCAAUAUCCCCUCUAUUGUUUAUAUUAGUCCUGGAGGUUUUGUUAAAUAUGAUUAGAGGAGACCAGUUGGUUAAAGGAGUACAAGUCGGAGCCAAACAGUACAAGUUAAGGGCAUUUGCAGAUGACCUAGUAUUGACCUUGCAACAGCCAGAUACUAGUACUAAAAGAGUAUUAGAACUAAUUGAGAUAUUUGGUCAAGUAGCAGGAUUUAAACUGAACAAACAGAAAACGAAAGUGUUGGAUAAAAAUUUAACAUUGGCCGAAAAGAGAAGUUUCAGAAUGAAACAGGACUAGUGAUAACGAAAAAGUAAAGUACCUGGGGGUAAACUUAACAUCUAAGAAUGUGAAUUUAUUUAAGGACAAUUAUGAUAAAUGUUGGACAGAGGUAAAGAAGGAUCUAGAAAUAUGGUCAAGGUUGAAACUUUCUUUGUUAGGCCGAAUUGCUGUUAUCAAGAUGAAUGUAUUGCCUAGAAUGUUGUUUUUAUUUCAGACAUUGCAGAUUUUGGACA